Molecule: ribosomal RNA, 433 nt
Filed under: uncultured bacterium
Lineage: Bacteria
Description: partial 16S ribosomal RNA
Rfam family: Bacterial small subunit ribosomal RNA
Source: RNAcentral
AACGAACGCUGGCGGCAUGCCUAACACAUGCAAGUCGAACGAUGCUUUCGGGCAUAGUGGCGCACGGGUGCGUAACGCGUGGGAAUCUGCCCUUGGGUUCGGAAUAACAGUGAGAAAUUGCUGCUAAUACCGGAUGAUGUCUUCGGACCAAAGAUUUAUCGCCCAGGGAUGAGCCCGCGUAGGAUUAGCUAGUUGGUGGGGUAAUGGCCUACCAAGGCGACGAUCCUUAGCUGGUCUGAGAGGAUGAUCAGCCACACUGGGACUGAGACACGGCCCAGACUCCUACGGAAGGCAGCAGUGGGGAAUAUUGGACAAUGGGCGCAAGCCUGAUCCAGCAAUGCCGCGUGAGUGAUGAAGGCCUUAGGGUUGUAAAGCUCUUUUACCCGGGAUGAUAAUGACAGUACCGGGAGAAUAAGCUCCGGCUAACUCCGUG